This 1057-nucleotide ribosomal RNA is filed under the name Triticum aestivum (bread wheat). Its description in RNAcentral is "partial small subunit ribosomal RNA". Lineage: Eukaryota; Viridiplantae; Streptophyta; Magnoliopsida; Poales; Poaceae. The record is from RNAcentral.
AGGUUAGAGCCCAAGAAGCCCAGCCAGUAAACCUCCUUCCAUCCUGGCUCGUCUCCUCGUUCCCCUUUGUUGUCUAGGGUCGCCGCCCGCCGCCGCCGCCGCCGGCCAAGCUACCCUUUACCAAGUCCCGCACCGCCACACCCAAACUUUAGUAAGCGACCGACAAACAGGCAUGUCGACGGAGAGGAUCCGGUGGGGCAGUGAAUCAGCGAUGCAGCCAUCUAUGUAUGAUUCAAGAAACAAAAAUAUUACGUAUAUCUGCUAAUCUUUGGUGUUUAUUUAUAAUUUCGUAGCCCCGAGUUGCUAUCUGUGUGCUACAUCCGACCAACUAUCGUCAUGUUAUUCGGGAUUUGAAGAACUACGUCCUUGAGGGAGACUUUCCAGGACGAAAUCAAGCAAACCUGCAGGUGGAGCAAUACCAAGACCCUCCUUGUGAUGCUGGAUUCAGGAAUGGUCAACAUGUUGAUCACACCACUAUUCCAGCUUCUAACAGUGAGAGGGACAUUCUGGGAGCAAAUCAAGCAGACCAGAUGGCAGUGCAACACGAGGGACAUUAUUUAGUUCACAAUGUUGCUCGAUUCGGGAAUGCUACCCUGUUCAAUUACACCGCUAAUCCAGUCUCUAACAGUGAGACAAGUUAUGGCCAGCCAUCAAUUCGUUCCUCCCAGGAAGCCCCACCACCACAGGCAUUUUUGGAUGGUCUUUGUCAGUUUCUAUUUUCAGAAGAGCCUGAUGGACAACAUUCUCAUGCUGACGAAAUGGCAAUCUUUAACGUCUUCUACAAUUUACUUUGACUGGGAAUAGGAACAUGUAGGCUAUUACACCAGUCCAGGAUUCCAUGGAAACCAGACGUUAUGCCGAGACCUGAGGCCAUUGAUGCGUACAAGAUGUUGCGGGUUGUAUUUUGAAUCAUAAUAAUUUGGAUAGUUUUUGUCCCAUUUCUGGAACAAUUUUAUCCUUCGGCGUCAUCAUUUCCCAAUGAGCUUUUAGACAGCGAUAUGACAUAUAUGAGUAGCUAUGCAUAUCUUUAUGUCAUUGCAUUUUUGUAUUAGGACAU